This 171-nucleotide non-coding RNA is filed under the name Pelagerythrobacter marinus. Its description in RNAcentral is "6S RNA". It matches the Rfam family "6S / SsrS RNA". Rfam says of the family: E. coli 6S RNA was the first non coding RNA to be sequenced, but its function was unknown until recently. Lineage: Bacteria; Pseudomonadati; Pseudomonadota; Alphaproteobacteria; Sphingomonadales; Erythrobacteraceae. RNAcentral also lists the same sequence under 1 other name. The record is from RNAcentral.
GCGGGACUGCCCGGCACGAGCCGUUUGAAUAUCCCUGAGGCUAUAAGCAAUCCAACGGGAGCUGUCCCUGCCCUGGUUCACUGGUUCGUCCGGGGGGCCGGGGCAUACGGCGCCCACCUGACGUUUAGGCGUCAGAGGAUUUCCCGGAAAACGACCCAUGGUGGUUCCGCC